RNAcentral lists this small RNA (117 nucleotides) under Salmonella enterica. RNAcentral's name for it is "partial RtT sRNA". It matches the Rfam family "RtT RNA", at positions 16 to 130 of the family's 130-position model. Rfam says of the family: This family represents a bacterial cis-regulatory element known as RtT RNA. The exact function of RtT is unknown although it is thought that it may be involved in changing the cellular response in relation to amino acid starvation. The record is from RNAcentral. RNAcentral also lists the same sequence under 1 other name. Lineage: Bacteria; Pseudomonadati; Pseudomonadota; Gammaproteobacteria; Enterobacterales; Enterobacteriaceae.
GGAAGGAUGAGAAGCUUCGACUAAGGUUCGAUUCGAGCGAAAGCGAGAAAGCGUUGCCGCAGGCAACGACCCGAAGGGCGAAACGCGCAGCGCUGAGUCAUCCUUCCCCCACCACCA